RNAcentral lists this ribosomal RNA (497 nucleotides) under uncultured bacterium. Its description in RNAcentral is "partial 16S ribosomal RNA". It matches the Rfam family "Bacterial small subunit ribosomal RNA", at positions 28 to 507 of the family's 1533-position model. The record is from RNAcentral.
GAUGAACGCUGGCCGCGUGCCUAAUACAUGCAAGUCGAGCGAACGGACGAGAAGCUUGCUUCUCUGAUGUUAGCGGCGGACGGGUGAGUAACACGUGGAUAACCUACCUAUAAGACUGGGAUAACUUCGAGAAACCGGAGCUAAUACCGGAUAAUAUUUUGAACCGCAUGGUUCAAAGGUGAAAGACGGUCUUGCUGUCACUUAUAGAUGGAUCCGCGCUGCAUUAGCUAGUUGGUAAGGUAACGGCUUACCAAGGCAACGAUGCAUAGCCGACCUGAGAGGGUGAUCGGCCACACUGGAACUGAGACACGGUCCAGACUCCUACGGGAGGCAGCAGUAGGGAAUCUUCCGCAAUGGGCGAAAGCCUGACGGAGCAACGCCGCGUGAGUGAUGAAGGUCUUCGGAUCGUAAAACUCUGUUAUUAGGGAAGAACAUAUGUGUAAGUAACUGUGCACAUCUUGACGGUACCUAAUCAGAAAGCCACGGCUAACUACGUG